This is a non-coding RNA of Sturnus vulgaris (Common starling), 7110 nucleotides long. The record is from RefSeq and is a predicted model, not a curated record. NCBI's taxonomy places the organism in Eukaryota, Metazoa, Chordata, Aves, Passeriformes, Sturnidae.
AACCAAAUAAACACGACUACUUACUGAUGGUAUCAAACCUCCCCCCCAAACACAAAAUACAUCCACCCAAAACCCACUCCCCUUGCAGGGUUUUCAUUUUCCUCUUGAGCAGUUAUUGUGCAGUCUUCAGGCUUUAUUCCUGUGUGGUGCUGGGCAAUAGAGGCAGGUGUGCACCAUGGCCCCUGGCAUGUGAAAUGGAGAAAAAGAAGUUCUGAUGAGAAUUAAUUUCUUCCAUGUGCUCUGGAUUUAGCCUAGGAGGGAAUAGAUGUUCUUUCCUCUUUAGACCCUGUGCAUGUUGUCAGCCUCUACCACUGCUGUCUAUAUAUUUAACUCGUCCUAGAGGUGUGUCAAAGGUUGAAAAGCACUUGUUGCCAUACAGGUCAGAGUGGUCAGUAAGGUGGGGAGGAAGUCCUAGAGUGCCUGUGGCCAGAGAUCUAUGUGGUGGGCACUGUGGUGUGCCAAGAUCUCUGCCUGCUGGCCUGAGCAGAGUCUGCCUGUUGCCUUGCACCCUGCCUGUGCAGCUGCCUGCAUGUUCCUGCACUCUCUUACUGGGCUCAUAUCCUGCAGGGUAAUUGGGGAAAAGGACCGUGUUUCUGCUGUGUUUGUACACCUGCCUGCACCACAGAACUCUGAUGUGUGAGUGUGGUUCCCAGAUGAUGCAAGGUGACAAACACUGAAAAGAUGCUAACUGUUUUUAAAUUGACCUUAGUUUUUGUUGCUUUUACCUGUUACUUAAGACUACUUGUGCUGAUUUCAGCAUACAUCCUGCGUGUUAUACUUACGUGUAAUGCACUUGAUUCAAAUAUAUGAUUUUCAAUUCCAUGUUCUUCUGCACUACCACCGCAUUUGACUUGGUGUUGGUUUUAGGUGCUGGCACAGCCACUGUCAGCACACUCUGAUUAAGUGGUCCCAAAUGUCCCUUCAAGACCAAGUCUAGUGGUGGGCUACUUCAAAGGGGUUCUUGUGUAUUUCUGUGAUGUUUAGCUUCAGAUGUUUGCUUUCAUUAUGUUGCUACAGAUUUGCAAUAAUAUAUCCCUUACUUCAAGCUCUUUCAACUGUUAUAGCUGUACUAGCAGUAUUUGCUAGUGUUUCUGAUGUGGGUGUAACCAGAGAAUAAAAUCACAGCAUACUGUUUCUUGUUAAAUUUUGCUUUGAGGUUAAAGCAAUCUUAUAGUACUCCUUGAUACCUGUUUCUACCUAUAUAUCCCUAUCCCAAAUUCUACUUCCUCCUCUUCUUCCUUUCUUUUCUUGCCUCACCUUCGUUAACAGGCGCUGGGAAGGGAAAUGUGUUCCCAUCUUAUUCUGCCAUUGUGUUCAGUGAUCUCAUGUGCUUUGGAUUGAAGAUUGCUGUUCUGCUUAGGUGAGUUGCUGGCUUUCAUGGUCUGAUACAUUAACAAAAUGAUGUGCUGCUGGAGAGAACUUUUGAAACUUUUUGUUAGUAAGAUUUUAAUAAUUACCUUUAUCUCUUUCAUCUAGUGACUAUUUUGGUGUCACUGUACUUCAGAGGUUAUUUGGAAGACCUCCCACUGGGAAUGGGCUCCAGCAGCCCCUGAGCAAGCAUUGCUCUGCUUCUGGGUGGCCAGCAGCAGGGAAGCUUGAGGUAGAGGAGUGUUUGUACUGGGCACAGUCAGGCUGUGGGAAUUGAAGGUGUGUAUUCAGGGUGCACAGCCCAUCCACAGGAGCAGCUCUCUAGGCAAAGGGCAAAGUUCUUCAUCGGUGCUGUACAGAGUAAGAGGUGUCCUUUGGGUAAGCGUGACUCUGGGAAUGAGUAUUGCCCUCAUACUAUCAUGAAGAGUGAGGCAUUUGCAAAGCUCACUCGGGGUUCUGUUUCACUCUGACCUUCCUGUGUGGUGGGUUGGUAGGUCAUCUCAUGUGAACCCUUAACGUGGUUUUUCAAGGGUGCUUAUUUGUUAUGAAGUUGCAGUGCCCAGAACAACCACCACCCUGCCGAUCUUAGUAGAAGUGAAUAGAAUAAAAAUAUUAACUAGACAUGCUUGUUUCUGUCAAGCUAACUGGGAUCUAAUUUACCCUCCCAUUUGCUGUUUGCUUUGCUUUCCCAAGAAGAUAUUAGUGGGCAAAAUAUUUCACGUAUGUAUAUUCAGGAUAAUGCACUCCAGAGCUCUUAUUGUAGUUUAUAUAGUGCUUAUCUGCUUUUUGGCUUGUAAACUUUGCUACUUCUGCAGCCUUAUGAAAGGGGUGAAUAAAUGUAUUGUGUAAUUGCUAUCUGUAAAGUGAAUUCUAGAGAAUUUGCCAGAGGGUGACAUCAAGUAUAUUCAAAUUUACAGUCCCUGAUUAUUCCAAAUACCCGCCAAAAUCUUGUUUCACACUUAAUUUAUUUAACUUUGGCAUAUAUAAGUGCUGAAUGUUUUCCCUUCAUCCAUUUACUUGGGACAAGACUCUCUCCAGAUGUAGUUUCACAGUCUUUAGUCCAGUCUGACUGUGCUUGUCUGUCACUUUUACUUAGUUGGACACACUGGUGAUCAGUACCUGAAUGUGCUAUGGAAAAGUGAGUCUUCAGCCAGAUCAGAGUUUAUCACUGUUAAGCCUAAGGUAAAGGAGGUAGUAGGGUGGGGGAAGUGAAGGGUAAGUUCAGAGUGGGACUGCCCACUUAAAUGGUGGCUUGUCAAUAAAGUGGUCGAUGUCAGCCAUGAAACCGAUCCCUUUGGAGCUGCAGCAAAGGGAGAAGAGACCGGGCUCCCAGCACUCGAUGGAGCUGGAGGUUUGUGCUUUGUUCCAGGCUUCUGAAUACCUUUUGCUGUGUUGGAAAGCAAAGCAAUGCUUUCCCACUUUAUUUAUGCCCUGCCCAAAUUCCUUGAAUUUUUGCAGCUUGGUCCAAGUGAUAGUUCUAGUUUGCAUGUGAAAAGAAUGAAGUGUCCGCCAACUCUCCAUAGGUAGGAAAGCAUCUUAAAACCUGCUUGCCUCUAGCCAUGCAGAAUAUCUGAGAUUGAGGAAGGGUUUUGAAGUAGGGAAUGGAAAUCUGCCUGACACAAGUAAGUCAUGUUGGAAGAAGUGAGACUGUGCUUACUGCUUGACAGAGUAAGUGGGCUGAACUCUAACCAUAGCUGCCUGAGAAAUAGCUGUUUGUUCCCUCCUUUGCAAGGCACAGCCUCUACAUUGCUCCCACAUUUACCACCCGUGGACGUGAACUGUGAGCCAGAUGAAAAAUCUUAAUUGGUGUUAAAAUUAAUUUACCAAAACAAUAAGAAGGAGUUAAACCUAGAUAGCUCUCCACAGUGAAGGAGCAGCAAGAGAAUGGGAAAGAGCUGGAGAGAGUCUAAGAAAAAAACACUCUUGCCUGUUUCUGAUGUAGAAAUAAAUACCAGCACAUCUGCAUUCUGAACAUCACAUUUCCUGGUUCCCCAAGCAUUGGCCCUGGACUGGGAUUUGGCAUCUGUCUCACUUUCAAGUCCAAUGCAGUCUCCUGGCUUCUGGAAGUGAGUGCUUGAUGGCUGGUCAAAGAACUGCUCAGCAGCUGCUGAGCUGGGAAAGAAGCUGCUGCUGUUGCCUGUGCAGGAACAUUAACUGCCUCCUGUUAGGCCCUGCAGAGAUUGGCAGAGCUCAGUGCAGCUCUCAUGAACUCAGUUGUUGAAGCUUUGAGGCAACCGAGCUGCUCAGCAAGUGCAGUCUUCAGCCCUUCAAGUCUGAAAGCUCAAAACCUGAAGACUUUGCCAUGCUGCUUUGCAGAGUACCAGACUCCUUCCAUGAACAGGCUGCUGUAGGGGGCUUGGGGAACCCAGGGUUUUGCUGUGGGUUGGCCCUUCAUGCCUGGGAGCUGGUGUUGCCCUUUUGGGUGAACACAACAGGGCUGGUUGCUGCUGCAGCAGGAAUUCCCUGUCAGCAGGGAGGUACUUUGCUGUAAUGGCUUCACUGAUGAGUGCAUAUCUCUUUAUCCCCCAUCCAGUGCAUAGUGUUCUGAUCUGAUCUGCUUUUACUACCCUGUCACUGUUCAUAAGAGCAUCUAUCGUUCUGCUAGCUGUUGCUUCAGAUGUAGUUCAAAGCAGCAUCAACAUGUCAGGCCUCUGUUCUGAGUUUUCCUGGGUAGACCUCAGCCUACAGCAGCCCUAAAUACAGAGAAACCAUACAUAGAGCUGGAGACAGGCUCUAAAUUAUCAGGGUUGGGUUCUUAAGCAUCAGGAAAUCAGGAAAAAAAAGUGCUAGAGUAGCCUGCUAAGCAAUGCAAGUGGCUUAGCAGUUUUGGCAGCUGAGAAGGGAAGAAAUAAAUUCUAAUGCACUUAACAAUACCUUACCUGUGUGCAGAAAUGAGCUGGCUGGUUCAUGGCAUGGGAGGUUGUCUAAUGUGGAAAUGACUAACUUCCUCUGGCAGUACCAGUGUGCUGCAUAGGAUGUAGGAGGUAGGAUGUGAGGAGGUCCUGGGCCACUAGUAAGUGUAGCUAGGCUUGUUAAAUAUCAAGUUAAAUUUAAUCUGUGAAAACUCUCCUUUCUGAGUUGUAUUGUCUGAUUUCUGCAGGAAGAAAAUAUUUCCCUUACAAGUACAAUGCUGUGUGGCCAUCUGACUGCAUAAGAGGAAGUAAGAGUCUUGCAAAGGUUAGGUCCUACGUGCCUUGAUAAUUGCAUAUGUGAUCCCAUGGAAGAGAAGAGAAUCCCAUGGGAGCAGAGGACUGAAAUUCUUUACUGCCUGGCUUCUAGCGUGCUGGUUCAGGUCACUUACUCUUCCCAGCCUGUGGUGGGUGCUGGUGUAGGGUUGUGUGGUCAUAACUGUGACGUGUGGCAGCAGUUGGAGCAGGAGCACAGCGAGCAAUGCCCCGUGCUGGAUGCUUGUGCAGCAGCUGUGGUGUCCCUGGGUGAUGGCCAGUACCUACUGUAUGUGUAACAAUCGUGUGAUUGCUUGCUGAGGAAAGGGUUGGGACAGCUACAUCCCUUCAAGCCCACCCACAGCUUAUUCAGCAUGUUGGAAGUGGGAUUAUUUCUUCCUGGCCCACAGACAAGAUCAGCUUGAGCCUCUCACUGCAGCAUCUUAAUUACCUGUCCCCUUUUCCCUGUGAAGCUGCACGUAGUAUUGCCCAGCCAUAUGCUUGGGUCAGAGCAGGGGAGAUCACCAAACAUCAGAUGUCCAAGGGGCUGAUUAUGGUCGAAAUUGCAUACAUCCUUCUGCAGCCUUCUGUUAUGUGGAUGUAGCUCUUCAGAGGAAACAGCAGCAAGCACCAAGCUGAGGACAAAAAGCCAGUAGGUUUGUGGAGACUGUUUUGCUGUUCCUGCUGCAGCUUUGUGCUGCUGAUGUGCAGUUGCCAACGGGAAGAGGGUUAAGCCCACAUAUCACAUGGCACGAUUCUGUUUACUACAUAUUUCUCAUAAUCGGGACUGGCAUCCAAAUCCAGAUGAUUAGCACUUAACCAAAGACCCUGAAACAAUGUGUGUCAUGUUUGUAUUCCUCUGAAGCUAUGCACUUUGCCACAAUUUCUCUUGCAGAGACAUGAUUCUCCCUGCAGCCUCCAAAGGAAGCUAUGGGGAGAGCAGAAAAUGAACAGUUUUAUGACAAAGACUGGGUUGGACUGAACUACAUUCAUCUUAGUCUGAGCUUGAAGCCAGCGGAAUUUCGCCAGGAAUUGACUUAGACCAUAAUAACUUUAUCUCUACCAAAGGUGGUUCUUGCCAAUGGUCUGAGAUUAGAGCACCAGCUCGACAGUGACAGGGAAAUGAGACUGUGCCCCUUGGUUUAAGGGCUUGGAUAGCUAUUGUUGAGUGCUGAGUAUAAGCUGUGGUGGUGGAGAACUAAGUAUAAAAUUCACAUUAGUUUUUGAGGUGUGGUUUUGGAUAAGAGGAAAAGUAUAAUUUCACAGCCCAGUCUCUACCUUAUUCUUGCUAUCAGCAUGGGCAUUACUGUAGCAGACUUCCAUGGGGCCCAAGGCAGGUUGUGAAUUACCUUUCUACUAUUCCUUCUGAACAAGGCAGUUCUUUCUGUCUCUUUCUCCUCACAAACUCAUCUCUGCCCAUACACAUACACCACACAUGGCUUUUCCUUUCUCUGGUGUAGUAGCAGUUCAUUUGUAAAGACCUCCUUUGUCCUCCUUAGAGCUUCAACACUUGGCAGCAACCUGCGUUACAGCCGUCUCUGAAGACAGAUUGCAGAAGUCUGUUUUUCCCCAUGCUUCUAAAGGUCUUUUUCCACCCCCCUUCUUCCUGCCUCAUCUAAAAAGUCACACCAUCAUCCAUGGAUAAAGUUUACACAAAUUAAAUGUGGGAGAGGAAGGAUGAAGAGGUGUACCUUUUUCCCCCUUCCCUGUGAUGAUCCAAUGCUAAUGGAAAAAGAAUUUCUCUUGACCAGCCUGUUUGUUACUGGGAUCUACCUGCUUAAAAGACUCUUGGGCUGAAGAGAAUUAGGAGCAGUUUUGUGAUCUAAGCACAAGCUUGAAAUAAACCCGUCCAUUUGUUUGCUAGUAGUGUCAGAAGGACCUUCCUUUUCUCAACCUUAGAGACUUUUUACUCCUUUGUAUUUCAGGAGGAAAGGAGAUGAAUUCCUGCUUUCUAUUUUGUUGGGUGCUGGCUGUUGCUUCUAACAUAUGAUACAGUUUCUUAGCCACAGAUAUUAAAAAUGUAGUCCAUUGAGUCUGUCUUGAAUUAUCUUUUUUAUUUUGGUCUUGCACUGGACUGCACUGUUAUAAGAGAAAGCUUGAACUUUGAGAAAUACUGUCAAGUUCCUCUAAUUAGAAGACUUGUGGUAGAAAUGUCUUAGGGUGCUAGAAAGGCACCUAUUUUCAGUAGAUAUUGACAGACCUUGUAUGGACAAUUCUGGAAUAAGGUUUUUAGGUCUUCUGAAACAAGUGACAGUAAAUGUUCCUUGACUGUUUGUACCAAGGUAAUGUGACUUCCACGUGGUCACUUACACUGCUGUCUGUUGCCUGCAUGUACCUUGCCUCGCUCAGAAGGUUCUUUAUUUGAGAAAACAGACAGCAAACAUAACGGCAGUGAUCAGAAUUGCACAUGAAGUGCAUGUCCUCCAUUUGAGUUACCUAUUUCUUGUCAGUGGUUUGAACCAGACUGAACAGCCAUGGAUUUUUUUACGUGUAACCAUUAGCAUUGUCAUCAAGUGUCAGUUGUGAUACUAAGCUGAACUGCAAAUGUUUUGCUUAGCAACUGUUGCAAAGGAAAAUU